GCCGGUGUGGCUCAGUGGUUGAGCAUCGGUCUAUGAACCAGGAAGUCAGGGUUCAAAUCCCGGUCAGGGCA
Molecule: transfer RNA, 71 nt
Filed under: Myotis brandtii (Brandt's bat)
Lineage: Eukaryota; Metazoa; Chordata; Mammalia; Chiroptera; Vespertilionidae
Rfam family: tRNA
About the family: Transfer RNA (tRNA) molecules are approximately 80 nucleotides in length. Their secondary structure includes four short double-helical elements and three loops (D, anti-codon, and T loops).
Source: Rfam by way of RNAcentral